RNAcentral lists this unclassified non-coding RNA (391 nucleotides) under soil metagenome. Its description in RNAcentral is "partial contains 5.8S ribosomal RNA, internal transcribed spacer 2, and large subunit ribosomal RNA". The stretch from base 1 to 122 matches the Rfam family "5.8S ribosomal RNA", at positions 35 to 154 of the family's 154-position model. The record is from RNAcentral.
GAUGAAGAACGUAGUGAAAUGCGAUACUUGGUGUGAAUUGCAGAAUCCCGUGAACCAUCGAGUCUUUGAACGCAAGUUGCGCCCGAAGCCAUUAGGCCGAGGGCACGCCUGCCUGGGCGUCACACGUCGUUGCCCCCCCAUCUACUCCUUCGGGAUUGCGGGGGGCGGAUGAUGGCCUCCCGUGCGCCUCGCCGCGCGGUUGGCAUAAAUGCCAAGUCCUCGGCGACGCACGCCACGACAAUCGGUGGUUGCGAAACCUCGGUUGCCCGUCGUGUGCGGUCGUCGCGCAUCGAGGACUCGAAAAAAUUGCCGGGUUCCGGCUCGGCUUUCAACGCGACCCCAGGUCAGGCGGGGUUACCCGCUGAAUUUAAGCAUAUCAAUAAGCGGAGGA